CUGCGGAAGGAUCAUUACAUUCAGUAGCCUAGCUACUUGUUUACACCCUUGUUUUUUUGCGCACUUUAUUGUAUCCUCGGCGGGCUUGCUCGCCGGUUGGACAACACUUAUAACCUUUUUAAUCUUCAAUCAGCGUCUGAAUUAUACAUAAUAAUUACAACUUUCAACAACGGAUCUCUUGGUUCUGGCAUCGAUGAAGAACGCAGCGAAAUGCGAUAAGUAGUGUGAAUUGCAGAAUUCAGUGAAUCAUCGAAUCUUUGAACGCACAUUGCGCCCCUUGGUAUUCCAUGGGGCAUGCCUGUUCGAGCGUCAUUUGUACCCUCAAGCUUUGCUUGGUGUUGGGCGUCUUGUCUAUCCCUUUUGCGGGCAGACUCGCCUUAAAGUAAUUGGCAGCCAGUGUUUUUGGCAGUAAGCGCAGCACAUUUUGCGUCUUAGUCCUUCAACAGUGGCAUCCAUAAAGCCUCUUCUCACUUUUGACCUCGGAUCAGGUAGGGAUACCCGCUGAACUUAAGCAUAUCAAU
RNAcentral lists this ribosomal RNA (521 nucleotides) under Phaeosphaeriopsis sp. PHY-22. RNAcentral describes it as "eukaryotic LSU rRNA". The stretch from base 159 to 312 matches the Rfam family "5.8S ribosomal RNA". Lineage: Eukaryota; Fungi; Ascomycota; Dothideomycetes; Pleosporales; Phaeosphaeriaceae. The record is from RNAcentral.